Molecule: ribosomal RNA, 253 nt
Filed under: uncultured bacterium
Lineage: Bacteria
Description: partial 16S ribosomal RNA
Rfam family: Bacterial small subunit ribosomal RNA
Source: RNAcentral
UACGGAGGGAGCUAGCGUUAUUCGGAAUUACUGGGCGUAAAGCGCACGUAGGCGGCUUUGUAAGUUAGAGGUGAAAGCCUGGAGCUCAACUCCAGAAUUGCCUUUGAUACUGCAUGGCUUGAAUCCAGGAGAGGUGAGUGGAAUUCCGAGUGUAGAGGUGAAAUUCGUAGAUAUUCGGAAGAACACCAGUGGCGAAGGCGGCCAACUGGUCCGGUACUGACGCUGAGGUGCGAAAGCGUGGGUAGCAAACAGG